GUCAGCACAGAGUCUGAUGCAGAGCUUGAACUCAUGAACCUGAGCAAGAUCACAUGACCUGAGCUGAAGUCAGCCGCUUAACUGACUGAGCCACCCAGGCACCCCAAGGGAGGCCUUGACCAUGGAAGGGACCACCAGGCAAGCAGUGCUGGUGGCCACAGGAGCUGACAGCAGCAUCCCACUGACAUUGUGCAAGGAAGUGAACCCUUGCAGGGGGAGGACCGCAGUCCUCCAGCUCCAGGAAAUGGAAUUCUGCCAACAGCUCUGUUCAAGCUUGGAGGGGAUGUUGAGCGCUAGGUGCAAACACUGCCUGUGACACACCGGAGAGAACCAUCAGCAUCACACUGGAUUGCUGACCUGCAGAACUGGGACACAUGGAUGGCUGCUGUCGUAAGUCACUAUGGUUGUGGGAAUUUGUUCUGCGGCAAUAGAAAACCACUGCACAGCCUCAAGUGUACAUAGAGGUCUUGCCCCUGGAAUGAAUUUAUGAAACUUCAUGCACACUAGAUGGAUGAAAUAAAAUCUUUCCUUGGGGUGCCUGGGUGGCUCAGUCAGUUAGGCGUCCAACUUCAGCUCAGGUCAUGAUCUCACGGUUUGUGGGUUCGAGCCCCACAUCAGGCUCUCUGUGCUGACAGCUUAGAGCCUGGAGCCUGCUUCCAAUUCUGUGUCUCCCUCUCUCCCUGCUCCUCCCCCCAACUCAUGCUCUGUCUCUCUCUCUCCUUCAAAAAUAAAAACUUAAAAAAAUUUUUUUAACUUUCCUUAUUUUUGCUUAUGUAUUUUUCAUUUUAUGAUUUUUAUGUGAUGCAAUUAAAUACUAAUAGUCACAUUUCAUUCAUUCAUUCAACAACAAUUAAUUUAGAGCCUACUAUACACCAGGAAUGGCUUUCUAUGCGGGGAGACAGCUUUCACCAAAAUAGCCCAAAGCCCCUGUGCUCAUGUGCCCUACAUUCUAGAGGCUUCUCAAGAGUGAGACGGAGCCACUGGAACAUUUUCAGUGAACACAUGAUGUGACCUGACUCAUAUUAGCAAGACCGCUGACUCACAUUAGCAGGACAUUAGACUCCCCUGUGGGGAGAAGAGCCCCAGGUGGCAGGUGAUGCAGGGCACCAGGGCCACAAUCCAGGAGGGACAGGAUGGUGGAGACUAAGGGGAGGAGAGGGCCUGAGGGAUGAGAGAGACAGAGAGAAGGGCUGCAGGCACAGGGUGAGGAAAAGAAGCAGAGGGAAAGAAUUCUAAGCAGUGGAAUUCUCAGAUUUAAAUACAUUGUUAUACAGAUUUUUAAUAAAUCUCUAUCUACAGGAUGUAGCAAGACAUUCUUUGCAUCUACUAUUUACUAUACUCUGGGGGCUCCCUGAAAACCCAUUGCCUCCUUAUGAUAUUCAGGGUAAAGAAAAGAAUACCAAGUGCCCCAACAAUAUGCACAUAAUUUAAGUAUUAAUUCAAACACAGGAAAUGGGAGAACACUGGUGAAGGGCAUCUGGCUGCACUGAACACUUGCAACUGGGAGGCGAUUAUAGCUUGCCCACUCUUCCAGCGGAAAUAUACAUAACAGUUGUGCAUCCAUGGACUGAGGAAAUGUCCAGCAUUCACACAGAUAAUCUUGGGGCUAUGGAAUGAAGGUCAUGUUAAAACACAGGAGUCAGGGCCCCCUGGGUGGUUCAGUCGGUUGAGCAUCUGACUUUGGCUCAGGUCAUAACCUCACGGUUUGUGAGUUUGAGCCCUGUGUCAGGCUCUGUGCUGACAGCCUGGAGCCUGCUUUGGAUUCUGUGUCCCCCCUCUCUCUCCACCCCACCCCUGCUUGUGCUCUCUCUCUGUCUUUCAAAAAUGAAUAAAACACAGGAGUCACUGAUAUAUUGUUUGGGAAAACUGAAGAGCUUUGUGAGCCUGACUGCUGUGCUGGAUGGUCACUUUUCUGUAGGGUGGGGCCAAAAUCACAUUUACAGUUUAGAUUCCUGAUGUUCAGUUGUUACCAACAUUGUGCUACCACUAGCGUUAAUCAACAAGAAGGAAACUGGAAUCAGGUACAGCUUCUCCAUGUCUAAAGAGAAAACCUCUGUCCCUCCUUUUCUGUCCCCAGGGUGAGCUCAUUCUCUUGUAUCGAAUUCCCUGGGAGUGAGUUUUCUAGAAUAAUCCAGAGGAAGAAAGGUAAGGGGUAGGAGGUAAGAGAAUCCAGUUCAGCGAAUAUUCCGGAAAGGACUGUGCAGGAAAAGGAGUUGAGCCCAGCCUGUGCGUCUUUCCCUGUUUUCCUCAGACAGCCCCUGGGCCAGGACUCAGGAAGACAGGAUGACAACGUCACCUGACCACCGUGCAUGCGGAGAGAGGUCAGGACAAAGUCUCAGAACUCCCGGGAGGGCCUGACUCUUCGUGUACCCUCACGAGGGCGGUGUCUGGCGCAGGGAAGGCCAGGGUUAGGGAGUCCUUAACUCCCCUGGUUUUACUUCUCCUUCUCACAGCCUGGGUCACGUCCUCCUGCCUGGAUACUGAUGACGGAAGCCCAGUGCCCACUCCCAUUGAGUUUCCCGUUUUAGAGAAACAAUUAGCGUCACCGCUGUUGCCGCAUACAAAAUUCUCGGGAACAGGCUCCGUUCAGCUUUUCCCAAGACCCCGAGGGUCUGCUGCAUGGACCCCACAACCCGUCCUCCUCCUGUUCUCGGGAAGCCUACUCCUUACCGCGACCUGGGCGGGUGACUGCGGG
This 2695-nucleotide long non-coding RNA is filed under the name Lynx pardinus (Iberian lynx). Lineage: Eukaryota; Metazoa; Chordata; Mammalia; Carnivora; Felidae. The record is from RNAcentral.